Equus asinus (donkey) is the source of this 2445-nucleotide long non-coding RNA. The record is from Ensembl. Lineage: Eukaryota; Metazoa; Chordata; Mammalia; Perissodactyla; Equidae.
GUGCUGUCAGUAUAUGGUCUCCAGCUGUCUGUUCUUUCAAAGUUUGCCUCAGCUGCAAAGACACUUCUCAAAGCCACAGGGCCAAGACUUCUGAAAACCAAACCUAGAGUCAUCCUGUGAGUGGCUGAAUCCCUAUGCAGAUUGAAUCCUCUGUUUCAUAGUGUAUCUUCUGUUAGAGUACAUUGAUAAGGAAUGGGAUCCUGAAUGUUGGAAUGGAGAUAUUAAGACAAAUGUCAACAAUGGAGACAUCACAUCCCUAAAUUCUGCUGAGUCAUCUUUGCUACUAGAAGAAACCCUUCCACUCCUGCCUGAGCAGGCAUACCUAUGGUCUAAUGGAGAUUUCCCCAUGAUCAAUUGACUGAGGAAGAGACUUCAGGGCUGACUGACAGAUAGUCCUGCAUGAUAUGUAGGCACCAAAGGUGGACAGCUGCAGCACUACAGCUCCUUUCUGGGACAUUCUCAAGGGAUAGUGAUGAAGGAAAAUCCUCCCAGUGAGCAGAACUUCGAUCAGGGCACCUGGUGGUUCAGUUUGUUUGGAAGGAGAAAUGACUAGAGGCUCUGCUGGUCUAUAUGUUGUAGUUCUAAAAUGAAGAAUGAUUCCACCAGGAAACAUGAGUCCAUCGAACCGAAAGUUGAGACUGCCGCCUGGCCACUUUAGGCUCUUCAUGCCUCCUCAUGAAUUAACAGACAAAGAAGUACUGUACUGGCUCAGGUGACUGUUCCUGAUUACCGAGGGGAAAUUCAUAUUGCUACUACACAACAGAGGUAUAGUGGAUAGUGUCCUGUGUCAUCCAAGAAGAGACCACAGAGCCUGCGGAACUGAUACAGAGAAGAAGGCCAUGUGAAGACAGAGGCGGACUGGAGUGAUGCUGCCACAAGCCAAGGAACACCUGGAGUCACUAGUAGCCGGAAGAGGUCACACCCAAGGCACCACUGGGGUCUCUUCUGACCAGAUGAUGAAAUGGGAGAAAAAGGAUGUCAAUCCUUUGAAGAGUUCCAGCCAGCCUAAACUGCUCCACAAGAUGGCAUGGAGGAGACAAUGUCUACCAAAGCAACAAGUAAUGUGCUGAUGAGAGGGGUAUCAGCAUCGUUAAGAAGUUCAGUGGUGGCUGCCCUCUGUAAGCCAGAACUGACACUAGGAGAUGCCAUUACAGAACUGGGAUUGCUGAGAGAAAAGCGGACAAUCAGAUUCUGAAACAGUAAGGCAGGUGAUGAUGCAAACCAUCAGAAGCCAAGUGAUACAAUUAUUAUAAUCAGAAGAGUGGUCAGAGUGGCAGCCAGAGGGUUGCAAUCUGGCUCGAAGAGAUCUGAACCAUGAGGACAUUUUGUGGAAUGUAACAUGGGUCCACUAUAUAGAUGACAUCAUGGUAAUCUGGCUAGAUGAGCAAAAAGUGGCUGACACUUUGGAGGCCUUCUUAAGCCUAGUGUGGCACCAAGAAUAUGGUAGAUGCUCAGCAAAACUGAAGAAAGGGUGGCAGGAAGUGAAAACUCAACUCCUGAGUUCCUGCAUAUAUGACCCAGUGAAGAAUUAUUUCUGUCUGAAAGGAGAAAGGAUUCUGGGGAGACAGCAGGGCCCGAACCACCAUGAAUCUGUCUCCCCACCUAGACAACAAUGGCACUAGCAGAAUCUGUCUGAUGUAACUAUUUUGGAACUCUGGAGUCUAUUGAAGGCUUGCAACUUCCAGGGGAAGGUUUCGAAGGCAUGUCUUUCCAGCUGGGCCAGACUGAAAUCUCAAUCUUGUGACCACUGCGUUUUUCCAAAGAUGACUGCAAAAUCUCUCCUAUCCCACGUGCUCUUCUUACAAUGUGACCUUGAUGUUCUCCCAUCAAGUGUUGGGGUCCAUGUUCCUUCCCCUAGAACCUGGGCAGAGUUUUCUGUCUUGACUAAUAAACUCUGAUGGAAGUCACACUAAGCAACUCUUAAGACUAGAAAAUAAGAAUGCCAUGCUCUUCUACCUGCUUUCUUAGAGACGCCUACGAUUGGAAUCCAGCUGUCAUACUGUGAAGAAAUCCAAACUCACCCAGGUGGAGAGACCAACAGAGAGGCCACAUAUAGAUACUUUGGGUAAACAUUCAGCUGAGGUCUCAGCCAAUAACUAAUCAGCUGCUAGACACGUGAGUGAACCUGUCUUUAGAUACCUCCAUCUCCCAGCUGUGAAGCCACCAUUAUCCUUUGAGGCCCAGAGAAGAUCCUAAACACAGUAGAGAGAAGCCAUCCCCACGAUGCUCUGUCUGAAUUCCUGACCCACAAAAUUGAUGAACCUAAUAAUAUGAUUAUUUUGUACCACUAAGUUUGGAGCCUUUUGUUAAGCAACAAUAAAUAACUAUACAGGUUGUUAGAAUAAAUACCCUGGUUCACUCUCCUCCCUCAAUCUUCUGUUAGUACACCCCACAGGCCAAACCAACUGGAAUCCAGAGAGCAGGGGAGCCCACCGAAACAAACCA